UUCAUCUAGUCACCUAGGAUCUCAAGUACCGUCUGAAGAUGCUCGGAAAUGGCACAUAACAAACUUCCCCUUGGAAAAUUCCUGUUAUACUAGACCAUCUACAUCUGGUACUGACAUUGUUAAUUCUCCCUUUAGUUCUUCAAAAGGAAAUGGUGUACAGUCUAGUCGAGUUCAUUUGCAGAACCUUCAAAAGCAAAUGGUGUACAGUCUAGUCGAGUUCAUUUGCAGAACGGUUAUUCUUCAAAAGCCUCUGAUGUUUUGGAGACUAGGCCCUCGAAGGUCCGGAAAAAGUUGUUUGAUCUUCAACUUCCAGCUGAUGAAUACAUAGAUACAGAGGAAAAUGAGCCGUUGCG
RNAcentral lists this long non-coding RNA (353 nucleotides) under Nicotiana benthamiana. RNAcentral's name for it is "long non-coding RNA (NBEN_LNC018932)". The record is from RNAcentral. Lineage: Eukaryota; Viridiplantae; Streptophyta; Magnoliopsida; Solanales; Solanaceae.